This 156-nucleotide unclassified non-coding RNA is filed under the name uncultured Hypocreales. RNAcentral describes it as "sequence contains ITS1". Lineage: Eukaryota; Fungi; Ascomycota; Sordariomycetes; Hypocreales. The record is from RNAcentral.
CCGAGUUUCCAAAACUCCCAACCCAUGUGAACUUACCUCUCGUUGCCUCGGCGGGAUCGCCCCGGGUGCCCCAGGCCCCGGACCCAGGCGCCCGCCGCAGGACCCCAAACUCUUGUUUAGUGGAAGCUUCUUCUGAGUGAGAAAACAAAUAAAUCA